AGUGAACGCUGGCGGUAGGCCUAACACAUGCAAGUCGAACGGCAGCACAGUAAGAGCUUGCUCUUACGGGUGGCGAGUGGCGGACGGGUGAGGAAUACAUCGGAAUCUACUUUUUCGUGGGGGUUAACGUAGGGAAACUUACGCUAAUACCGCAUACGACCUACGGGUGAAAGCAGGGGAUCUUCGGACCUUGCGCGAUUGAAUGCGCCGAUGUCGGAUUAGCUAGUUGGCGGGGUAAAGGCCCACCAAGGCGACGAUCCGUAGCUGGUCUGAGAGGAUGAUCAGCCACACUGGAACUGAGACACGGUCCAGACUCCUACGGGAGGCAGCAGUGGGGAAUAUUGGACAAUGGGCGCAAGCCUGAUCCAGCCAUACCGCGUGGGUGAAGAAGGCCUUCGGGUUGUAAAGCCCUUUUGUUGGGAAAGAAAAGCAGCAGGUUAAUACCCCGCUGUUCUGACGGUACCCAAAGAAUAAGCACCGGCUAACUUCGUG
This 492-nucleotide ribosomal RNA is filed under the name uncultured bacterium. RNAcentral describes it as "partial 16S ribosomal RNA". It matches the Rfam family "Bacterial small subunit ribosomal RNA", at positions 29 to 507 of the family's 1533-position model. The record is from RNAcentral.